RNAcentral lists this ribosomal RNA (332 nucleotides) under Cryptosporidium meleagridis. Its description in RNAcentral is "bacterial SSU rRNA". The stretch from base 1 to 274 matches the Rfam family "Eukaryotic small subunit ribosomal RNA", at positions 302 to 600 of the family's 1831-position model. Lineage: Eukaryota; Apicomplexa; Conoidasida; Eucoccidiorida; Cryptosporidiidae. The record is from RNAcentral.
AAUUUCUGAGGUAUCAGCCAUCUCCACUGUCGGCUCUGUCUCACCCCUGAACUGGGUUAAACGGGGAAUUUGGGUUGGAAACAAGAGAGGGAGCCUGAGAAACGGCUACCACAUCUCACGAAGGCACAGGCGCGCAAAUUACCCGAUCCCAAGACAGGGAGGUAGUGGCAAAAAAUAACAAUACAGGACUUUUUGGUUUUGUUAUUGGAAUGAAUUAAGUUUAAACCCCUUUACAAGUAUCAGUUGUAACCGGCAGUUGAAAUACCUGAAGCGUCAGAAAUUCCAACGACAUGACCCAAAAUUUGGGAUCCGAAAAGUUUUUAUGAGUCACC